This is a long non-coding RNA of Nicotiana tabacum (common tobacco), 1059 nucleotides long. RefSeq lists it as uncharacterized. Lineage: Eukaryota; Viridiplantae; Streptophyta; Magnoliopsida; Solanales; Solanaceae. The record is from RefSeq and is a predicted model, not a curated record.
AAUAACCCUAAAAUCCUAAACCUAUAAAAGGAAGACCCUAGACAACAAAAAGGAUCGGACUCUAGGACCUAGGAAAAAAGGGUGCGCCGUUUGAGAGAAUAGAAGGACCCAUCGUUCUGUUACUUCUUCUCGAAUUGAAAAACCAGCAACACAAAGAGACCUUAACUUCCAUGGCUGCUCCUUAACCAAAACCAAACGACUCUCCGUUCUUCAUCUUCUUCUACAUUUCUGAAUGCACACACACAGAUACAAUCAGGGAGCCCUUCUUCACCACCUCACAGCUUUGCCACCAUCUUCUUCACGCCCCAAAAGCAGCCGCUCACUAAAGCCCCAUGUCCGACCACUAUUUCUACUUCGCCGUUCAGAGUCCCGGCAAGCUCCAAAUUGAGUAAACGGAAUACCAAAGAAAACAAAUUUGAGAGAACACAACAGUGAUGAUAUUCAAUCCAAAAACAGAACCAUGAAACUCCAAUAUAAAUUAGGUCCAAAUCUCGCGUCUUCAACGCUCAAAAAUCAGCUAUUUAAAUGUGUCUUUCUGGUUCAGUUUGAGCUUUCCGUCAAGCUUUUAGGUCAUCGAUGGUCGUUGUCUAGAGGGGCUCUGUUUUAGUCGUGCGUUAAGGUAUCGUCUGGUUGGUUUCCGGUUUGAUUUUCUGCCGGGGUUCUAACAUUUGAGGUCUCCGGUCACUGGUUUUUCUAAGAUUUGUUUUGGAGCUGAAUUUGUUGAUAAUCGAAGGUGGUGGCUGAACUCCCACACUACUGUUUCCUUCAGUUUAUUUAGCCGUGUUGGAUUUGUUUCUUGAAAAUUCAGGUGUGGAUCCACUUACAUGAGUUUGAGCAUGACAGAUACCCCAGACCACCGCAUUCAGGAGUUGCUUAAGGAGAUUUCUUUUUAUAUUUGUUAUUUUUAUUUUAUUUUUAUGUUUGGAGUACGUUUUUUUUACGUCGUCUUUUACUUUCUAGUUAAAUAGCGUGGAUGUAAAUUUAGUCCUAAAUCGUAGGAUAAAUUAAUUAUGAAUAUCGUAGUUGCUUUAGGUGCGUAAUUUAAAUUACCUUCCUAAA